AUGUUACACAAUUGUGUCCCAUACAUUAAUCAGCAGGAAGCCUUUGGACACUAAUAACAAUCUGUUCGUAUAUUAUAGACAUAUAUACCCUGAAGCCAAUAAAUGACCAUGUCUACUGUGAACUAACAUGUAACCGUCAGGGGUUAAUUGCAUAGUUUGACAAUUAACCACAUAUUACUAUUACUCCAUAAACAGACGACUAUGUAACCGGCCUACACCUAUAGACAUUUGUAUGGACCACUGGACUAUAUAAGAUCCCUCAAUGGACUACAAGGACAGAAUUCGAUUAGACGACAAUUCGAUAAGGACGGAUUGGUACAAGAGAUU
RNAcentral lists this long non-coding RNA (327 nucleotides) under Mytilus galloprovincialis (Mediterranean mussel). Lineage: Eukaryota; Metazoa; Mollusca; Bivalvia; Mytilida; Mytilidae. The record is from RNAcentral.